Molecule: ribosomal RNA, 501 nt
Filed under: uncultured Oscillibacter sp.
Lineage: Bacteria; Bacillati; Bacillota; Clostridia; Eubacteriales; Oscillospiraceae
Description: partial 16S ribosomal RNA
Source: RNAcentral
CACGUAGUUAGCCGUGGCUUAUUCGUCAGGUACCGUCUUCUACUCUUCCCUGACAAAAGAAGUUUACAACCCGAAAGCCUUCUUCCUUCACGCGGCGUUGCUGGGUCAGGCUUGCGCCCAUUGCCCAAUAUCCCCCACUGCUGCCUCCCGUAGGAGUCUGGGCCGUAUCUCAGUCCCAAUGUGGCCGGCCAACCUCUCAGUCCGGCUACUGAUCGUCGCCUUGGUAGGCCGUUACCCUACCAACUAGCUAAUCAGACGCGAGGCCAUCUCUCAGCGAUAAAUCUUUGAUGUAAAUGCCAUGCGACACCUACAUGUUAUGCGGUAUUAGCAGUCGUUUCCAACUGUUGUCCCCCUCUGAAAGGCAGGUUCCUCACGCGUUACUCACCCGUCCGCCACUAAGUAACCCAAUCCGUUGACCGAAAUCUCCUUCAUGGGCACCCCGUUCGACUUGCAUGUGUUAAGCACGCCGCCAGCGUCGUCCUGAGCCAGGAUCAAACUACU